Molecule: ribosomal RNA, 253 nt
Filed under: uncultured bacterium
Lineage: Bacteria
Description: partial 16S ribosomal RNA
Rfam family: Bacterial small subunit ribosomal RNA
Source: RNAcentral
UACGUAGGGCGCAAGCGUUGUCCGGAAUUAUUGGGCGUAAAGAGCUCGUAGGCGGUCUGUCGCGUCGGCUGUGAAAACCCGGAGCUCAACUCCGGGCCUGCAGUCGAUACGGGCAGACUGGAGUUCGGCAGGGGAGACUGGAAUUCCUGGUGUAGCGGUGAAAUGCGCAGAUAUCAGGAGGAACACCGGUGGCGAAGGCGGGUCUCUGGGCAGUAACUGACGCUGAGGAGCGAAAGCGUGGGGAGCGAACAGG